GGAACGGUGGCCGAGUGGCUUAAGGCAACGGUUUGCUAAACCGUCAUACGGUUGGAAACUCCGUAUCGAGGGUUCGAAUCCCUCCCGUUCCGCCA
This 95-nucleotide transfer RNA is filed under the name Alphaproteobacteria bacterium. Its description in RNAcentral is "tRNA-Ser". It matches the Rfam family "tRNA". Rfam says of the family: Transfer RNA (tRNA) molecules are approximately 80 nucleotides in length. Their secondary structure includes four short double-helical elements and three loops (D, anti-codon, and T loops). Further hydrogen bonds mediate the characteristic L-shaped molecular structure. tRNAs have two regions of fundamental functional importance: the anti-codon, which is responsible for specific mRNA codon recognition, and the 3' end, to which the tRNAs corresponding amino acid is attached (by aminoacyl-tRNA synthetases). tRNAs cope with the degeneracy of the genetic code in two manners: having more than one tRNA (with a specific anti-codon) for a particular amino acid; and 'wobble' base-pairing, i.e. permitting non-standard base-pairing at the 3rd anti-codon position. RNAcentral also lists the same sequence under 2 other names. The record is from RNAcentral. Lineage: Bacteria; Pseudomonadati; Pseudomonadota; Alphaproteobacteria.